This 375-nucleotide ribosomal RNA is filed under the name uncultured Pseudomonas sp. RNAcentral's name for it is "bacterial SSU rRNA". It matches the Rfam family "Bacterial small subunit ribosomal RNA", at positions 100 to 508 of the family's 1533-position model. Lineage: Bacteria; Pseudomonadati; Pseudomonadota; Gammaproteobacteria; Pseudomonadales; Pseudomonadaceae. The record is from RNAcentral.
CACGGGGUGCGUAAACGCGUGGGGAAAUCUGCCCCUUGGUUCGGAAUAACAGUGGGAAACGCUGCUAAUACCGGAUAAUGACGUAAGUCCAAAGAUUUAUCGCCCAAGGAUGAGCCCGCGUAGGAUUAGCUAGUUGGUGAGGUAAAAGCUCACCAAGGCGACGAUCCUUAGCUGGUCUGAGAGGAUGAUCAGCCACACUGGGACUGAGACACGGCCCAGACUCCUACGGGAGGCAGCAGUAGGGAAUAUUGGACAAUGGGCGAAAGCCUGAUCCAGCAAUGCCGCGUGAGUGAUGAAGGCCUUAGGGUUGUAAAGCUCUUUUACCAGGGAUGAUAAUGACAGUACCUGGAGAAUAAGCUCCGGCUAACUCCGUGC